GCGGAGGGCCGGAUGACCGCGGGCCCGCAAGGGCGCGAGGAAAGUCCGGACUCCAAAAGGCAACGGUGCCGGGUAACGCCCGGGCGGGGCAACCCGACGGAAAGCGCCACAGAAAACAAACCGCCGUCGUGCAGGGCUUUGCCUUGCAGGCCCGACGGUCAGGGUGAAACGGUGGGGUAAGAGCCCACCGGGGGGCUGGUAACAGCCGCCGCAUGGCAAGCCCCACCGGGAGCAAUGCCGAAUAGGGACCUU
This 252-nucleotide RNase P RNA is filed under the name Paracoccaceae bacterium. RNAcentral's name for it is "Rhodobacteraceae bacterium (marine metagenome) partial RNase P RNA component class A". It matches the Rfam family "Bacterial RNase P class A", at positions 1 to 242 of the family's 367-position model. From Rfam's summary of the family: Ribonuclease P (RNase P) is a ubiquitous endoribonuclease, found in archaea, bacteria and eukarya as well as chloroplasts and mitochondria. Its best characterised activity is the generation of mature 5'-ends of tRNAs by cleaving the 5'-leader elements of precursor-tRNAs. Lineage: Bacteria; Pseudomonadati; Pseudomonadota; Alphaproteobacteria; Rhodobacterales; Paracoccaceae. The record is from RNAcentral.